This 224-nucleotide ribosomal RNA is filed under the name uncultured bacterium. Its description in RNAcentral is "partial 16S ribosomal RNA". It matches the Rfam family "Bacterial small subunit ribosomal RNA", at positions 111 to 334 of the family's 1533-position model. The record is from RNAcentral.
UAACGCGUGAGGAACCUGCCUCAAAGAGGGGGACAACAGUUGGAAACGACUGCUAAUACCGCAUAAGCCACAGCUCGGCAUCGAGCAGAGGGAAAAGGAGUGAUCCGCUUUGAGAUGGCCUCGCGUCCGAUUAGCUAGUUGGUGAGGUAAUGGCCCACCAAGGCGACGAUCGGUAGCCGGACUGAGAGGUUGAACGGCCACAUUGGGACUGAGACACGGCCCAG